GCUUACGGCCAUACCAGCCUGGGUACGCCCGAUCUCGUCUGAUCUCGGAAGCUAAGCAAGGUCGGGCCUGGUUAGUACUUGGAUGGGAGACCACCUGGGAAUACCAAGUGCUGUAAUCA
This 119-nucleotide ribosomal RNA is filed under the name Salmo salar (Atlantic salmon). The record is from RNAcentral. Lineage: Eukaryota; Metazoa; Chordata; Actinopteri; Salmoniformes; Salmonidae.